AGUGAACGCUGGCGGCGUGCCUAAUACAUGCAAGUCGAACGAAGUGGCGCACGGGUGAGUAAUAUAUAGUUAAUCUGCCCUUCACAGAGGAACAACAGUUGGAAACGACUGCUAAUACCUCAUAGUGUAGGAUGGGACUAUAUCGUAUCAGCUAGUUGGUAAGGUAAUGGCUUACCAUGGUUAUGACGCGUAACUGGUCUGAGAGGAUGAUCAGUGACAUUGGAGCUGGGACACGGUCCGAAAUGCGCCGGGAGGAGGCAGUAAGGAAUAUCGGUGCCUGGGGUAGACCCUGACGAAGCAACGCCGCUUGGGGGAUGACGCUUUUCGGAGCGUAGAGUCCUGAUAUCAGGAAAGCGGUACCUGAUGGAUAGGCCCCGGAUAACUCCGUACCAGCAGCCGCGGUAAUAC
Molecule: ribosomal RNA, 408 nt
Filed under: uncultured bacterium
Lineage: Bacteria
Description: partial 16S ribosomal RNA
Rfam family: Bacterial small subunit ribosomal RNA
Source: RNAcentral